AUAUGACCACAUGUGACUAUAUAUGACUACAUGUAUAUGACCACAUGUGACUAUAUGAGUAUAGUCAUAUAUAGUGUAGUUUGUGGUAUAUAGCUUCAAAUCCCACUUUUCAGUACGACAACAACCCCGAUCUCUCGACAAAACUUAUUACAUAGAGGUUGUCAAACACGAAGACCUGUGACAAAAAAAUCAAGUUCAGUUUAAAUAUUUACAUUAUAUAUUAAUUUAUAACCAAUAAAUACAGAUCAAAAUAACAAUCACAUGCAUAUGUUACUAUAUGUUACUAUAUAUUACUACACAUUAUUAUAUAGAACAAUAGUAAUUUGUAGUUUGACUAUAUUUUCCAAAUUCAUCUACAGCUUCAAUCAAAAUUUGGACACCUUCAAAGAAAAGACCAAUGGUUUCCAUUAAUUUACAAUUUCAAACUCAGGAAACACAAAUUAACAAAAGACUACUAAUAAUUAAAUUGAUUAACACAAAAUUGAUGGGAAGAAAGAGAGCAACGAAACGAAAAAAAACCAACCACGAUGCUUAUAGCCUGCUAUUUUGUUGUAUUAUAUGUGAGCUUUGAAGAUUUACUCAAAAAAAAGAUGUGAGCUUUGAAGAUGAUAACCUUUUUACUUUAUUCUUUGCAGAAUGCUUUAUUUAAAAAAAACCAAAAACAAAAAAAAAAAAAAAAACAGAAAAAACCAAAAAAAAACAAAUCACAAAAACUUAUCAAACUCAAAAUUACCCUCCCAUGAGGAUGAGUCAGCAAACCAAAUAAUCACAACACCGCACAAAACAAACAACCAUCAUUAAUUUAGAAUUAAUUCAGAUCUAUUUUUUUUUACCUGAAAACUAAAUUUCUUUCUCCGGUUGGAAGGAAUCGGAUCGCCGAUCGAGUAACAGGAGCGGUGGAGUUGCAGUGGAUCUAGCGACGGAAGAUAUGGUCGCCCCCGAAUCUGGGGAGAGUCUCCUUUCAGAGGGGCAGGUUUGGCGGCCAAGCACUAGAUGGUGCAGCGGCGAAAGCGUCGGUGACACCGACGGAGGAAGAGAGGGAACGCAGCGAGCGGCAUAAGAGAGGGCAUCGUGAGAAAGAGAGGGCUAGGGUUUGGGGAGU
Molecule: long non-coding RNA, 1102 nt
Filed under: Erythranthe guttata (spotted monkey flower)
Lineage: Eukaryota; Viridiplantae; Streptophyta; Magnoliopsida; Lamiales; Phrymaceae
Description: long non-coding RNA (EGUT_LNC002019)
Source: RNAcentral